UUAAAUCUUUUAAAACCCUUUUAAAAUCUUUGGUAAAUAUUUUAAAAUCCCUUGUAAAUCUUUUAAAAUUCCUUGUACAUUUUCCGCCAAAAACAUUUGUUACGAA
Molecule: small RNA, 106 nt
Filed under: Arabidopsis thaliana (thale cress)
Lineage: Eukaryota; Viridiplantae; Streptophyta; Magnoliopsida; Brassicales; Brassicaceae
Description: ATSL280830
Source: RNAcentral